AGGUAGUGACAAGAAAUAACAAUACGGGGCUUAAUGUCUUGUAAUUGGAAUGAUGGGAAUUUAAACCUCUUCCAGAGUAUCAAUUGGAGGGCAAGUCUGGUGCCAGCAGCCGCGGUAAUUCCAGCUCCAAUAGCGUAUAUUAAAAUUGUUGCAGUUAAAAAGCUCGUAGUUGAAUUUCUGCUGCAUCGUCGCAUCUCUUGCUGAGUGCUUCGUUUCGGCUUAUUUCGGAUUGAUUUUUUCUUUCCGGAUGAUUACUUUGAGAAAAUUAGAGUGCUCAAAGCAGGCUUUUGCCUUGAAUAGUUUAGCAUGGAAUAAUAAAGUAGGACUUUGGUUCUAUUUUGUUGGUUUUAGGUACCAAAGUAAUGGUUAAUAGGAACA
This 378-nucleotide ribosomal RNA is filed under the name Theileria sinensis. Its description in RNAcentral is "SSU rRNA". It matches the Rfam family "Eukaryotic small subunit ribosomal RNA", at positions 462 to 880 of the family's 1831-position model. Lineage: Eukaryota; Apicomplexa; Aconoidasida; Piroplasmida; Theileriidae. The record is from RNAcentral.